This 301-nucleotide ribosomal RNA is filed under the name uncultured bacterium. Its description in RNAcentral is "partial 16S ribosomal RNA". It matches the Rfam family "Bacterial small subunit ribosomal RNA", at positions 509 to 807 of the family's 1533-position model. The record is from RNAcentral.
CAGCAGCCACGGUAAUACGAGGGGGGCAAGCGUUGUUCGGAAUUAUUGGGCGUAAAGGGUGCGUAGGCGGUCUGAUAAGUUCUAUGUGAAAUCUAUGGGCUCAACCCAUAGUCUGCAUGGAAAACUGUCAGGCUUGAGAAUGGGAGAGGUGAGUGGAAUUUCCGGUGUAGCGGUGAAAUGCGUAGAUAUUGGGAGGAACACCAGUGGCGAAGGCGGCUUUCUGGACUGCAACUGACGCUGAGGCUCGAAAGCCAGGGGAGCGAACGGGAUUAGAUACCCGGGUAGUCCCUGUCUCUUAUAC